GAUGAACGCUAGCGAUAGGCUUAACACAUGCAAGUCGAGGGGCAGCAUGGUCUUAGCUUGCUAAGACUGAUGGCGACCGGCGCACGGGUGCGUAACGCGUAUGCAACUUGCCUCACAGAGGGGGAUAACCCGUCGAAAGACGGACUAAUACCGCGUACACUUGGGAUAGGGCAUCCUCACCCAAGGAAAUGAAAUUCGCUGUAAGAUAGGCAUGCGUCCCAUUAGCUAGUUGGUGAGGUAACGGCUCACCAAGGCGACGAUGGGUAGGGGAACUGAGAGGUUGAACCCCCACACUGGUACUGGGACACGGACCAGACUACUGCGGGAGGCAGCAGUGAGGAAUAUUGGGCAAUGGGCGAGAGCCUGAACCAGCCAAGUAGCGUGAAGGAUGACUGUCUUAUGGAUUGUAAACUUCUUUUAUACGGGAAUAACAAGAGCCACGUGUGGCUCCCUGCAUGUACCGGAUGAAUAAGCAUCGGCUAACUCCGUG
Molecule: ribosomal RNA, 490 nt
Filed under: uncultured bacterium
Lineage: Bacteria
Description: partial 16S ribosomal RNA
Rfam family: Bacterial small subunit ribosomal RNA
Source: RNAcentral